Molecule: ribosomal RNA, 395 nt
Filed under: uncultured bacterium
Lineage: Bacteria
Description: bacterial SSU rRNA
Rfam family: Bacterial small subunit ribosomal RNA
Source: RNAcentral
GUGUCAGCCGCCGCGGUAAUACGGAGGGUGCGAGCGUUGUUCGGAAUCACUGGGCGUAAAGGGCGUGUAGGCGGUCCGUCAAGUCUGAUGUGAAAGCCCGGGGCUCACCCCCGGAAGGGCAUUGGAAACUGACGGACUCGAGUCCCGGAGAGGAGGGUGGAAUUCCUGGUGUAGCGGUGAAAUGCGUAGAUAUCAGGAGGAACAUCGGAGGCGAAGGCGGCCCUCUGGACGGUGACUGACGCUGAGACGCGAAAGCGUGGGGAGCAAACAGGAUUAGAUACCCUGGUAGUCCACGCCGUAAACGAUGAGCACUAGGUGUCGUGGGUAUUGACCCCCGCGGUGCCGCAGCUAACGCAUUAAGUGCUCCGCCUGGGGACUACGGCCGCAAGGUUAAA